This is a non-coding RNA of Armillaria borealis, 88 nucleotides long. The record is from the annotation of a GenBank genome assembly. Lineage: Eukaryota; Fungi; Basidiomycota; Agaricomycetes; Agaricales; Physalacriaceae.
GGGCACAUGGUGUAGUUGGUUUAUCACGCCCGCUUAGCAUUUGUCUUGGUCGUGCGGGAGGUGUUGGGUUCAAUUCCCAAUGUGUCCA